CUAGCUGUAAACGAUGGAUACUAGGCGUUGAGAGUAUCGACCCUCUCAGUGUCGUAGCUAACGCGUUAAGUAUCCCGCCUGGGGAGUACGCGCGCAAGCGUGAAACUCAAAGGAAUUGACGGGGGCCCGCACAAGCGGUGGAGUAUGUGAUUUAAUUCGAUGCAACGCGAAGAACCUUACCAGGGCUUGACAUGUCCGGAACCCUGCCCAAAGGCGGGGGUGCCUACGGGAACCGGAACACAGGUGGUGC
Molecule: ribosomal RNA, 250 nt
Filed under: uncultured Chroococcidiopsis sp.
Lineage: Bacteria; Bacillati; Cyanobacteriota; Cyanophyceae; Chroococcidiopsidales; Chroococcidiopsidaceae
Description: partial 16S ribosomal RNA
Rfam family: Bacterial small subunit ribosomal RNA
Source: RNAcentral